This 475-nucleotide ribosomal RNA is filed under the name uncultured bacterium. RNAcentral describes it as "bacterial SSU rRNA". It matches the Rfam family "Bacterial small subunit ribosomal RNA", at positions 29 to 506 of the family's 1533-position model. The record is from RNAcentral.
UUGAACGCUGGCGGCAUGCCUUACACAUGCAAGUCGAACGGUAACGGGUUAAGCCGACGAGUGGCGAACGGGUGAGUAAUAUAUCGGAACGUGCCCAAUCGUGGGGGAUAACGCAGCGAAAGUUGUGCUAAUACCGCAUAAGAUCUACGGAUGAAAGCGGGGGAUCGCAAGACCUCGCGCGAGUGGAGCGGCCGAUAUCAGAUUAGCUAGUUGGUGGGGUAAAGGCCCACCAAGGCGACGAUCUGUAGCUGGUCUGAGAGGACGACCAGCCACACUGGGACUGAGACACGGCCCAGACUCCUACGGGAGGCAGCAGUGGGGAAUUUUGGACAAUGGGCGCAAGCCUGAUCCAGCAAUGCCGCGUGCAGGAUGAAGGCCUUCGGGUUGUAAAGCUCUUUCAGACGGAAAGAAAUCGGGCGCGUGAAUAGCGUGCCUGGAUGACGGUACUGUCAGAAGAAGCACCGGCUAACUACGU